UACCUUCAGCCGCCCAGUUUCAAUCCUGUUAUUAGCCUGUGCAGAGAUGAUGGGCGUGGGGUGGCAUUCAGACCUUUGUGACAAUUGGGCUGCAACUCCUGAGAGGAAAGAUCCUACAGCUAAGCUCCUGUCAGUCAUGGACCAGCGCAAGAAAAGAGACGGUCACUUUCAUAUUUCCCAUGUGUGAGUUGCAUCAGCCAUCAAAGGAGAGUACAGUGGGAGGAGAAGGCCAGGAAACCUGGAUCAGCAAUGGAUUUUGGCAGAACAAAACAACAAACAACCCACGAAAGAAUGGGAAGGAGUUGAGAUACCAGACUGUGGAGGGGUCCAUCUGCUGCACAGGCAGAGCAACAGCCCCAUCUGUCUAUCCCUUGGUUCCUGGCUGUGGUGACUCAUCUGGAUCCUUAGUGAUGCUAGGAUGCCUUGCCAAAGGCUAUUUCCCUGAGCCAGUAACCGUAAAAUGGAACUCUGGAUCCCUGACCAGCGGUGUGCACACCUUCCCAGCUGUCCUGCAGUCUGGAUUCUACUCCCUCAGCAGCUCAGUGGCUGUACCCUCCAGCACCUGGCCCAGCCAGACCAUCACCUGCAACGUAGCCCACCCGGCCAGCAAAACUGAGUUGAUCAAGAGAAUUGAGCCCAGAAUACCCAAGCCCAGCCCCCCCACAAAUAUCCCGUGCCCACCUGGUUGCAUCUUGCCUGGACCAUCUGUCUUCAUCUUCCCUCCAAAGCCCAAGGAUACACUCAUGGUCUCCCUGACCCCCAAAGUCACGUGUGUGGUUGUGGACGUGAGUGGGGAUGAUCCAGAUGUCCAGUUCAGCUGGUUUGUGGACAACGUAGAAGUACACACAGCUCAGACGCAGCCCCGUGAGGAGCAGUACAACAACACCUUCCGGGUGGUCAGUGCCCUCCCCAUCCAGCACCAGGACUGGAUAAGGGGCAAGGAGUACACAUGCAAGGUCUACAACAAAGCCCUCCCAGCCCCCAUCGAGAGGACCAUCUCUAAGCCCAAAGGGAUAGCCCGGACACCUAAAGUAUAUACCAUGCCUCCACCUCGUGAACAAAUGUCCAAGAAGGAGGUCAGUCUGACCUGCUUGGUCACCAACUUUUUCUCUGAAGCCAUCAGUGUGGAGUGGGAAAGGAAUGGGGAGCUGGAGCAGAACUACAAGAACACCCCACCCAUCCUGGACUCAGAUGGGACCUACUUCCUCUACAGCAAGCUCACUGUGGAUACAGACAGUUGGUUGCAAGGAGAAACUUUUACCUGCUCUGUGGUGCAUGAGGCUCUUCAUAACCACUACACACAGAAGACCCUGUACCGCUCCCCUGAGCUGGAACUGAAUGAGACCUGUGCUGAGACCCAGGACGGGGAGCUGGACGGGCUCUGGACGACCAUCACCAUCUUCAUCAGCCUCUUCCUGCUCAGCAUGUGCUACAGCGCCGCUGUCACACUCUUCAAGGUGAAGUGGAUCUUCUCCUCGGUGGUUCAGGUGAAGCAGACGACAACAAUCCCUGACUACAGGAACAUGAUUGGGCAAGGCGCCUAGCUUGUCUCUUCAGAAGGUGCCAGAGCUUGCAAGCCCUCUAGGGCCAAGUCCAUGCUGCUGACACAGCAGGUUACACUGCCUUCUCAUCUCAGCAUCCUUUAAUCUUAUGGCUCUGACUCUGCUACCCACAUCCCUUCCACUUUUGGAGGAGCAUGUGGAGAGCAGGCUUUGCCUCAGACCAUAGCCAAAAGAACCCAAGCACCACUACCACAGCCAGAACAAUGGAUGGGGUCAAAACUGCUGUUUCUUCUACAUGGUGUCCAGUCCUCAGCCAGGUGCUCUCCCAGGAUGGGCAGCAUCACCUGCAUCCAUUUAGAUGCAGAUGACCCUUAGAGCCAACCCUGUCUACACAGUCCUCUGAAAAACACACUUCUCUGAGAGAAGAGGAAGCUUCCAUAUGUCUCUGCAGCUGAGAAGGCCCCAAAGGGACCUCUCUGGGAAGGACUGCCAAAGGUGACUCUAAUGGCCUUCCCCGGACCAGUGCCCUGCCAUGUUUUCACUCCUUGGAAGGUAAGAUGGGGUUCCUUGUGAAGACCCCUUUUCCUGCCCUCCAUACAACAUGAUGAAAUCUCAGAUGCAAGAUCCCACCAGAGACACUGCUGACCCCACAGCUUGAAGACCCGGGCACUGUGACCUCACUGGAUGACCUAGAGAGACGCGCACAGGACCUGAGUUUCAUAGCUGCUGUUGGGUCCUAGCAGGUGCAGAAGCCACUGAGCAAAGACUGACAACCCAGAAAAGCCUGCAGGAGAAGAGCGUGAUGGACAGAGCCGGGUCAGUCCCGAAGGCAGUCCAGGAGCAACACGGGGGAAAUGAGAGGGGUGCUUAAAAGCAGGCAGGAAUGGGCCUUUCCUGCAGCCUGACAUCCAGACUGGGCCACUGACAGCAGAGAACACCAGUUAGAGUAGACAGCCAUGGAGAGAGCCCAGGCCUGGGGCUCUGAGGCUGACUGACCGCUGGCACUGGAGAGGCACUGUGACUGUUUCUCCAUUUCAUAUCAAGGUAAAUGCCAGGCCAGAGUCCCCAAAAAUGACAAAGGAGAGACUCAGGUAGGAUUAUGGUGAUUCCUGGCUCUUAGGGGACUCCAAGAGAUGUUCACUGACAAGAAGCUUAGCUUUGCCAGCUUUUUCUUUAAAUUUUCUUGAGCCCAGUCACGUCUUUAAUGUCCCUCUUCAUCUUUUUUAAUAAUAAUAAAACAUCCUUCAACAUUGUACAA
Apodemus sylvaticus (European woodmouse) is the source of this 2760-nucleotide non-coding RNA. Lineage: Eukaryota; Metazoa; Chordata; Mammalia; Rodentia; Muridae. The record is from the annotation of a RefSeq genome assembly.